GACAGAGGUGCCGAGCGUUAGGCGGAAUCACUGGGCUUAAAGCGUGUGUAGGCGGGCGAUCAAGUACCUUGUGAAAUCCCACGGCUCAACCGUGGAACCGCUGGGUAUACUGGUUGUCUUGAGCCGGCUAGGGGCGAGCGGAACAGACGGUGGAGCGGUGAAAUGCGUUGAUAUCUACAGGAACUCCGGUGGCGAAAGCGGCGUGCUGGACCUUUUCUGACGCUGAGGCGCGAAAGCUAGGGGAGCAAACGGG
Molecule: ribosomal RNA, 253 nt
Filed under: uncultured bacterium
Lineage: Bacteria
Description: partial 16S ribosomal RNA
Rfam family: Bacterial small subunit ribosomal RNA
Source: RNAcentral